Papaver somniferum (opium poppy) is the source of this 466-nucleotide long non-coding RNA. RefSeq lists it as uncharacterized. The transcript has 3 exons. Lineage: Eukaryota; Viridiplantae; Streptophyta; Magnoliopsida; Ranunculales; Papaveraceae. The record is from RefSeq and is a predicted model, not a curated record.
AUUCGUUGUAACAGGUGAAGCCCAUGCUAUCCAAUAGUUACUCCCUAUUUGUAACACAUCGAAACUAAAUUGAGCUAAGAUAAUCAAUGGAACCAAUGCCCCGCCCCACACCAUUGUCAGGAUUCCCAUCAGACAUUCCUGCACCAAAGUUAUACAUACUAUGAAACGCAUAAUGAUCCGAAACUAUGGUACUGCCUAGUCAACAAAUGCUAUCCAUGUUUAGAUCAUUAUUCUGGAUAGGAAGAAAAUCUGACCUCAAAAAGUUGACUUCCUGUAUGAGCAUCAACGGCACUGAAUGGGUCAUCUAGAAUAUAUAUGUCGGCAUCUUGGUCUCCAGCCUGGAAGAGCUCUAAAUCCUUCGACAGUGCACAUGCUCCUAUUGUUCUCUCAUAUUUGACUUGAUCAUAUGGAUUCCCGAAGAGAAUGUUGUCUCUUACAUUUCCAGUUAAUAUCCAUGGGGACUGAG